AAGUCGUAACAAGGUCUCCGUAGGUGAACCUGCGGAGGGAUCAUUAACACUUUGAUACUAAAUCAAAACCAACCUGUGAACUUGUAUCACGACCCUGGUUAAGUCUAGAUUUUGACAUCGUACUGGAUAGGUAAAUUUUGCUUGCAAGAUUUGUAUGAUGUUAUUCAUAUGUAAAAGUAUGCAGCAACAUUUAUGUUGUUGGUUUAUUCAUAACAGGGCCUAAUUUGAAAGACAGAAUUUAUUCUGACUUUUAAGAUCUAGCCUAUAGAUCGCUUUAUUCACCUUUUUUAAUCAUUAACUACUAAUGACUAUAUAACACAUUAGGUUUGCCCUGUGUGGACUGAUUAUGCUAAGCAAUUUAUUGUUUGCAUUGUUGUAAUUCAACCAUGAUACAACUCUUAACAAUGGAUAUCUUGGUUCUC
This 422-nucleotide unclassified non-coding RNA is filed under the name fungal sp. Its description in RNAcentral is "partial internal transcribed spacer region". The stretch from base 1 to 46 matches the Rfam family "Eukaryotic small subunit ribosomal RNA", at positions 1786 to 1831 of the family's 1831-position model. The record is from RNAcentral. Lineage: Eukaryota; Fungi.